RNAcentral lists this ribosomal RNA (577 nucleotides) under Hydrogenophaga defluvii. RNAcentral describes it as "bacterial SSU rRNA". It matches the Rfam family "Bacterial small subunit ribosomal RNA", at positions 320 to 882 of the family's 1533-position model. The record is from RNAcentral. Lineage: Bacteria; Pseudomonadati; Pseudomonadota; Betaproteobacteria; Burkholderiales; Comamonadaceae.
UGAGACACGGCCCCAGACUCCUACGGGGAGGCAGCAGUGGGGAAUUUUAGACAAGGGGCGCAAGCCUGAUCCAGCAAUGCCGCGUGCAGGAAGAAGGCCUUCGGGGUUGUAAACUGCUUUUGUACGGAACGAAACGGCUCUGGUUAAUACCUGGGGCUAAUGACGGUACCGUAAGAAUAAGCACCGGCUAACUACGUGCCAGCAGCCGCGGUACAUACGUAGGGUGCAAGCGUUAAUCGGAAUUACUGGGCGUAAAGCGUGCGCAGGCGGUUUUGUCGACGACAGGCGUGAAAUCCCCGGGCUCAACCUGGGAAUGGCGCUUGUGACUGCAAAGCUGGAGUGCGGCAGAGGGGGAUGGAAUUCCGCGUGUAGCAGUGAAAUGCGUAGAUAUGCGGAGGAACACCGAUGGCGAAGGCAAUCCCCUGGGCCUGCACUGACGCUCAUGCACGAAAGCGUGGGGAGCAAACAGGAUUAGAUACCCUGGUAGUCCACGCCCUAAACGAUGUCAACUGGUUGUUGGGUCUCUUCUGACUCAGUAACGAAGCUAACGCGUGAAUGUUGACCGCCUGUGGGAGUA